GCUCGUUUAGUUUAACGGUAGAACGCCGGCUUUAUAUCCCGGAAGCGCCAGAUUAGCGCGUAGCGAGGGUUCGACUCCCUCAACGAGCACCA
This 92-nucleotide transfer RNA is filed under the name Acidithiobacillus thiooxidans. Its description in RNAcentral is "tRNA-Ile". It matches the Rfam family "tRNA". Rfam says of the family: Transfer RNA (tRNA) molecules are approximately 80 nucleotides in length. Their secondary structure includes four short double-helical elements and three loops (D, anti-codon, and T loops). Lineage: Bacteria; Pseudomonadati; Pseudomonadota; Acidithiobacillia; Acidithiobacillales; Acidithiobacillaceae. The record is from RNAcentral.